Panicum virgatum (switchgrass) is the source of this 2235-nucleotide RNA transcript. It is a transcript of the gene named putative D-cysteine desulfhydrase 2, mitochondrial, with no coding region annotated. Lineage: Eukaryota; Viridiplantae; Streptophyta; Magnoliopsida; Poales; Poaceae. The record is from RefSeq and is a predicted model, not a curated record. The transcript is spliced from 8 exons.
GAAUCACCACCGUACGAAGUGUACAGCCCAUCUAGCAUCUUCCGCCGCCGCCCGCCGUCCCGUCGCAUGCGGCCGACGCCGGCGCUCGCCGCCGGCGGACGGACGGUGGCGAACCUCCUCUCCGCCACGGAGUGGAUGCUACGGUCUCCGGCUAGCCAAGUCCACACCAUCUCCGUCCUUCCCUCCCAGUCACCCACCUCUCGGCACGAGUUCGCCUUCUCCAACCUCACCACAUCGCUCGGGAACGGCGGCGGCAAGGGGGUAGAGGAGGGGAGUCCUAGGUUCCACGUGGUGCGCGACGACCUCCUCCACCCGCUCGCCAACGGAAACAAGGCGCGCAAGCUCGACGCGCUCCUGCCCCUCCUCCGCCGCCGCGGCGCCACUGACAUCGUUACAUGCGGGGGUUGCCAGAGCGCCCAUGCCGCAGCCGUUGCUGUUCAUUGUGCUGAAUGGGGAAUCAGGCCGUAUAUACUGCUGAGAGGCGAGCAACCGGAUGUUCCCACAGGGUAUAAUCUCAUCUCUUUGAUGUUCGGCAAUGUGACAUAUGCCUCACGGUCACUGUAUGCCCAAAGAGAUGAGAUGCUUUAUGAACAUGCCACAAAGGUUGCAGGUAGUAACGGCACAGUGAUGUGGGCUGAUGAUAUUAUUGGAGAGGAUUUGGUUGUAGAUGAGGACACCACUUAUUAUGGAAAUUGUUCGAGAAGAGUAAUGAUUGUUAAGGAAGGGGCAGGUAGUGUUCAAGCGCUGCUAGGUGUCAUGCGGCUAGUGGACUAUCUUUCUGUUAUGACAUUAUUUGGACAGGAUGAGAAAGUUCAUAUCGUGGUUGAUUCUGGAACAGGCACAACAGCUGUGGGGCUAGCUCUUGGAGCGGUAUGUCUAGGACUUCAGUGGAGGGUUACUGCUAUCAUGCUUGCUGACACACUUGAAAGGUACAGACAACAAGAGAAAUCCCUUGUAUCUGAUUUUGGAAAGGUUUACCCUGGACUUUUCCACAGAAUGGUGGAAAAUGAUACUCAUGGCAGUCUAGUUCAGUGGGUGGAGCGCUCUUCACCUAGAAGUGGUAUCCUGAUUGUGAUUGAGGAUACCCACCCAUCCAUCUUCUCUGUGAGAGGAAUCAACAUUGAAAAUUUGGCAAGGUGCUGGAUGGUGAGAUCGCGAUGUGCCGCCAGGUCGCUCAGCAGACCGGUGUCCUUCUGGACCCGAUAUACACCUUGGCUGCCUGGGAGCAAGCUGUGGAUCUGUGUCGCCGGGACAGUGAGGCCAAAGUGGUGAUGAUCCAUACGGGCGGCACCCUCGGCCUCUUCGGCCUGGCGCAAAGGUACCCGCCACAGUUCACUGCAGACGAGCAAUCCUAAGCACGCCAGUGUUGAUACGCAAGUGUACAGGAUGUCGGGUUGCUUAUAAACAUCAAGGAGCAUGUUCUUGUUCCUGAGCAUCAGGUGCUCACAAAUGAGGAGAAGACACUAUUGGAGCGGUACACCUUAAAGGAAACUCAGGUAUUGCUGCUUAUUCACACUUGCAAGUUUAGCUUUUGGGGGCAGUGGAGCCAAUCAUAUAUUUAUACUUCUCUAAUUUACCAAUUGGAUGAAGGAUCAGGUUAACGUGAAGUUUAACUUUCUAGAGGAAAAAACAUUCUAAAUUGGUUGUAGGUUUAUUUUUUCUUUCUUUCAGUAUGUGAUGUCCAAUUAAUCAAAAUAAUUGUGUUCAAUUAAUCAAAUGUGUACACGUCGGAAAGUAAAUCUAACUAAUACAGGUGUACCAUCUAAUACUUGAUGACUGACUUAUGUGUGUUUACUUGGCGACUGACCUCUGUUUGUUUGCAAUCAAUGAAGAAUUUCAUUACGAUAAAAGAUUGUCCUUUUUUUUUGACCUGUUGGUGCCACUGAAUUUUGGCAGCACCUCAUCAUUUCUGAAUUUUUACAUCACUGGGGCUUUAGAAUUGCAAAUAAAGUAUGAAUGAAGGCUAAUCCCAACUUUGUUACUUUAUUUCAGAUACUUGGUAAGGCAGAGUGGGGAACACUUGGCUUAGGGUGAUCUAAAAACCGGCGCAGUUCUUUGUGAGGUAUUCCAGAACAUAGUCACAAAGUUUCUGGAUCGACCGGGUCGAGGAACGGGGUCGAGGAUCGAGGGUCGUCACUUUAUAAAAUUGUGGUACGAAGGGGGUAUACCUCUAUGGAACGAUAAAUUAUUAUGUGGAACGUGACCCUGAUUCAUCCGGGUCGAUAUCUUCGGGUC